RNAcentral lists this unclassified non-coding RNA (3293 nucleotides) under Leishmania donovani. Its description in RNAcentral is "gene:LdHU3.19.0270(CDS-product:GNL3L/Grn1_putativ e_GTPase_putative)". Lineage: Eukaryota; Euglenozoa; Kinetoplastea; Trypanosomatida; Trypanosomatidae. The record is from RNAcentral.
CUCCCGUGUGCUGUUGGCCCCUCACGCGCGCAUACACACCCUUGCACACAGAAUACAGCGACAGCAUCCUCGACCUGCGCACACACUAGCGCGGUGUGGCGUCCAAAGGUUUCUUCCAUCCCAGAAGGCUCAGCUUUUCAUGCUCUUCCUUGUGCCUAGAAACGCUCAUCGCUUUGCUACUCUCUCCAUCGUCUUGCGGAGUGACCUUCUUUUUCCUUCUUGACGGCAUCUGUUUUGUUGCUCCCCUCCCCUCCGCACCCACUCGCAGACAAGAUGGUGAAGGUAAAGGCUUCCAAAUCGAAGCGCAUGUCUUCGAAGCAGCGCCAUAAGAUUGACCGAAAAAAGCGCGAGCACAAGCGCGAUCUGAAGAAGGCGGCCAAGGCGCUUAAAAAGACUGGAAUGACUCCCAAGAGGAGCAAGAAGUCACGCGACAUGGCAAAGCUGGCGCUGCAGGUGUCAAACCGUCACCCAGACAAGGAGCAGAUCCUCAGCCACGUACUACAGGCGCGUGAAACUGCGCGCGUGAUGAAGGCAGAGCGUCGCGCCCGCAAGGGGACCGACGCCGAGACGGACGGUGGCGAAGAGAACCAGACAGUCAGGGUCGGCGCAUGUGCUAGCAACCGGCGUCAGCUGCUCUACAUUUCCGCAAAGGACUCGAACCACUUUCGUGUGCAGUUUAACCGCGCGCUCACGGAGCUCAUCUUUCCUGCCGCGGCGACGGCCGAGGUUAGUGCCGAUGCGCCUACACUGGAGCUGCCUGCUGCGGCGUACGUCGUGACGCUCGACGCCCGGUUCGCGGUGCAGUCGAUGCCGUGGACUCUGUUGGACGCCAUCAUUGACCAGGCCGCCGACUACACGGGAGGGCGGAAGGUUCUGCUCCUCUUCACUUUGACGAAGGCAGAUGUGGUCUCUGCCCCCGCUAUGGUGUCGCAGCUCGCUCUCGUAGCCUUCGCCCUGCAGCAGCGCUACCCCAAAGGCCUCGGCGCCAACAUCGUAGCAACCGUCACGCCUUUUUCGGUCCAUAGCGAGCGCACGCAGCGCCAGUUUCUGCGGGUGCUGAAUCAGUUCCGUCAGAACGAGGGUUGCAGCAGUAAGAAGAUGGCAUCGAACUUGACGGGCAAGAUUUGCGCGUUUGUGAUUGGCCUGCCCAACACCGGCCGCCGCACGCUGUGCCGUACCCUCUCGAGGGAGGCCAACGAGAGCGGCGUGAGCACCGUGCCGCUGCGCGCCGCCCAGCUGCAGCUCAUCCGAUCCGGCCUCACCGAGGAGGAGGAGAAGGUGCACACGAAGUUUGCCAUGCCCAAUGCCAAGGCAGUGACGCUGGUGCAGCUCCCGGAGGAUGCCGGCAUGAUGAAGGAACUGCACGCCCCGGUCGGCGGCGACGUGCUUUUCCGCUCUUUGGCGUUCGUCGAGCGCGCCCCGGAGCCGGAGGCGAUGGGAUGCGUCUUGUUUGACGGGGUCGCGGACAAGACAACAAUGGCGCAGGCCUUCUGCGUGCCGGCGGUGGGCGGGGCAGAGGGCGACGAGAAGAAGCCGCUCAAAGUGGCGGAAAAGUUCCUGCGUGAGCUGGGCCGCGCUGUGCGUCGGGAUGGUGGCUUCCACGUGUCCCCACUCUUCGCAUCGGACGCGGGCACCAUGGGCAAGGUGACCAGUAGCGGUCUCACCGGCCACGGAGGCUUCAACUCGGGCCAGCAGUGCAGCCAGUCUACCCUUCUGAAUGUCACCUAUAGCAACGCAACGCCAAGCAAACUCGUGCACAUCUCAACUGUCAUGAAGAAAGGCAAGGGCAAGGCUAGCAGGUACCAGAAGGUCUCGCGCGCCGACGCGCACAACGCGCUUCGGCUCGGCGCCCGCACGUUCCUGCGCGAGAUGUCGGAGGGGCGCCAUGUGCCGUGGGCCGUCAUGCGCGCGCCCGGCGACGUCACACUGACGCCUGCACAAGUCGGCGCUGCGUCAGAGAUCUUCUCGGUCGCGGCCGCCGAGGGCAAGCGACUCGCAGGAACGGACGAGCUGAAAGGCACGGACCACCUCAACGCCCUUGUGGACGUGCUGGCUACAGCGGUGCGUGACAUUGCGGUCAUUUUGCCAAACGGCGUGGUCGAGAUGAGUCCUGACUUCCUGACGCCUCCUCAGUACAAGCUGGAAAAGGACGAGGCGACCGUGGAGGAGACUGAUGAGGAUGAUGUAGAAGAGGCUGCUGGCGAGCAGGGUGGCAGCGACGCUGAGGAAAGCUGCGAGGAAGCGGCGGAAGGCAGCGAGGAGAUCGACCUGGAGGACGACGAGGAGUCGUAGAGGAGCGCCGUGCCCCUUUUCAGUCUUCGUUUUCUGCGCAGCACGGUAUCUUCUCUCUCCGUGGACGAAGCGGGCAGAGCCAGCCGCUGACGGAAGGGAGGCGCGCACAUCAGGCGUACCGCCGUCGCCCCCCUCACGCCGUCGUGUUGCCGUUUUUAACUUCUUUUUCCCCUGUAUGUCACUCCUCGCCUCCUUCCGCUCAUGCCCCACCACUCUUUCUAUGUUGUCGUUGUCUCGGUUCGAGUGCUGCUGAACUCGCCUGACUUUGAGAACACGGCUGAUUGGUUUUGGUUUUGGCAUCUCCUAAGCGCAUCUUGAGUAACUCUCGCAUAAACCGCCCGCACAGCCGAUUCCGUCUAACAGGCAACGAGGCAGCAAGAUUCGCACAUUCGGAUAAGGCAUAAAGAAAAGCGAGGCACAUGCCAAAGGCACACAUAUAUAUAUAUAGAGAGAGAGAAAAAAGUAGGCAUCUCGGAGGCAGCAGCGACGCCGUUGCUGCUACUGCUGCUGAUGUUGGACAGAUGGGGCGGUGCAUCACGCUGCUGAGCAGCCGGGGAAAGGAGAACGCGGGUGAUGAGAUUCAAAGUGAGUCUGUGUCGCCGUCGCCUCUGCUCACCGAUGACACCUCAUGACGCACUUUGAUGCUUUCCAUAGGCGGCGCGCUGCACUCGUGUGGUGCUGUUAGCGCUCCUGUAAUGGUUAUGAUAGGUGGAGUAGAGGGAGCCUGCGCAUGCUUUUUUGCAAAGAAGUGAUGCGCAGAUAAGAAAGCACAUGCGCACACACUCUCCUUGUUGUCCCACUCCCCUUGUCGUUCACUUUGCGCCAACCUCUUCCCCUUUUCUCUUCCCUUCUAUGCCCCACCCCUUUUUUGUCUGUCUGCGGCUCGUCUGUACGCGACGUUCCGCCCCUUUCACUUGUUUGCGGCUACGCGGACUCCUUUCACGGCGCGCCUUUCCUUUGCAUCCCCCUUUCUCAUUUUUACAUGAAUCCUACUCACAAAG